AAUGGUCAAUGGACGCAAGUCUGAACCAGCCAUGCCGCGUGCAGGAUGAAGGCCCUAUGGGUUGUAAACUGCUUUUAUACGGGAAGAAACCCCUGAUUGCGAUCAGGGCUGACGGUACCGUAAGAAUAAGGAUCGGCUAACUCCGUGCCAGCAGCCGCGGUAAUACGGAGGAUCCAAGCGUUAUCCGGAUUUAUUGGGUUUAAAGGGUGCGUAGGCGGAUUAGUAAGUCAGUGGUGAAAGCCUGCAGCUUAACUGCAGAAUUGCCGUUGAUACUGCUAAUCUUGAGUAUAGUUGAGGUGGGCGGAAUGUGUCAUGUAGCGGUGAAAUGCUUAGAUAUGACACAGAACACCGAUUGCGAAGGCAGCUCGCUAAACUGUAACUGACGCUGAGGCACGAAAGCGUGGGUAGCAAACAGGAUUAGAUACCCUGGUAGUCCACGCCUUAAACGAUGAUUACUCGAUGUGUGCGAUACACUGUACGCGUCUAAGCGAAAGCAUUAAGUAAUCCACCUGGGGAAUACGGUCGCAAGAUUG
This 533-nucleotide ribosomal RNA is filed under the name uncultured bacterium. RNAcentral describes it as "bacterial SSU rRNA". It matches the Rfam family "Bacterial small subunit ribosomal RNA", at positions 363 to 896 of the family's 1533-position model. The record is from RNAcentral.